Molecule: ribosomal RNA, 493 nt
Filed under: uncultured bacterium
Lineage: Bacteria
Description: partial 16S ribosomal RNA
Rfam family: Bacterial small subunit ribosomal RNA
Source: RNAcentral
GACGAACGCUGGCGGCGUGCUUAACACAUGCAAGUCGAACGGAAAGGCCUGCUUUCCCUUGUGGAUUGCGGGUACUCGAGUGGCGAACGGGUGAGUAACACGUGAGUGAUCUGCCCCCAACUUGGGUAUAAGCCUGGGAAACUGGGUCUAAUUCCCGAUAGGACUGCAGGGUGGUGCCUGUGGUGGAAAACGAUUUUCUAGUGGUUGGGGAUGAGCUCGCGGCCUAUCAGCUUGUUGGUGGGGUAAUGGCCUACCAAGGCGGCGACGGGUAGCCGGCCUGAGAGGGUGGACGGCCACAUUGGGACUGAGAUACGGCCCAGACUCCUACGGAAGGCAGCAGUGGGGAAUAUUGCACAAUGGGCGGAAGCCUGAUGCAGCGACGCCGCGUGGGGGAUGACGGCCUUCGGGUUGUAAACUCCUUUCGACCGCGAGGAAGCCACCUGGUUGGAAGGGUGGUGACGGUAGUGGUAGAAGAAGCACCGGCUAACUACGU